UUCUAUCAUAAACUUGUGGUUUUUUUCAUGGCUUCAGGCUGAGUCCUUGCAGAAUACUUUUGUCCCUUUCCGCAGAAUUGAUAUAAUAAUCAAUGCAGUUACUGCAGGCUCAAAGAUCCCAUGCUUCCUCUGAUGCUGGAACCCAGCUCCCCCUAUCCAGUGGAGAUGUCUUCAUUCUGUUGGCUUUAUUUCUUCAAAAUUUGGGUAAGUACAAAGCAGUGUAAUAAUAAGAACUAGGAAAUUCAGUGAUAACUAUAGUACCUUUACCAACAUCUAAUUCAUUCAACCAUUCACUUGAAAUACUUGAAGUUCAAAAAGGAGGUUGUGUGAAUAGUAAAAUUAUGCAAGUCUGUAGUAGGUUUAGUGUCUCUAUUGUUUAAAGCAAUUAACAAAAUUAAGUUGCUUGCAUGAGAUGAGAUUGAUAACUAAAUGCAAUAAAUGAUAAUAUUUGGUUAUGGAAAUGCAGAAAGGACUGCAAGCAAACUCCUAUGUGGAGGGACUAGGGAGGUCAGGUCUUUUAAGUUCUGAUAAUUCGAGUCCACAGACAAGAUGAUCCCCGACCUCAGGUACUGUUUGUUUUAUACUGAAUAAAAUUUCCAGUACCCCUUGGGUAGGUUGGAACUGACUGUCUUCAUUUAGUACCUCUUAUAGACUAUAAUUAUUCUCAGUACCUCCUGCUGUACCGCUCACAUUUAAUCUAAAAGCAUUUACAAUGGCAUUGGGAUUUUCAAGCUGAUGGGUGGGAUAUAUGCUUUGUUUUCUAUCGCAAUCCAAUUAAUUUCAGAUGAAUUCAUCAUAAGAUCAUUCAACCAUAGUCCAGCUAGAGAAAUCGAACCAUUUGCAGAACAACAUUUUAUGUCAGAGGAUUAUCUAACAAUGAGAAUGCAUCGUCAAGAAAACUCUGCACCCAUUGUCGGAUUGAUGAUGUUUUACCAAAGCUGGGUACUUUCUUUUCACUUAUCUCAAGUAGAUUCUCAUCAGUUGACCUUUGUAAUCUUUGAGGGGCUUGAUUAUUCACUUGCUAGUUUGGCCACAUUAUACUUUGGCAUGGGAGACUAUUACCUUAAUGACUUAAUCUUUUUGGGGUAUGAAAGAGAAGUUAAGAGUGGACGUGACCUCGAGUUCCAUUCCAUGGAAACAUUGGAAAUGACUCUGAGUGGCUUGUUAACAUCGAACUGGUAAAUUUUGACUUUUGUAAAACUUAGAUUAGCAGUUAGUUGAAAGCUUCAUAAUAUAUUGCUUUCAACUUUCUUGGUUUGUCUAAUAUACUAAGGUCAUUGCCUAGUAAAGCAGUUGAGUCAUCUCUUCGAGUGGUUGGAGUUGAUCAAAUGUAUUUUAGGAAGCUAUGGGAGGUUGUGAUCAUGAGCUGUAACGUGAGGAAGUUCCCCACCAAAUUGUCUCUUUGGUUGUACCUAGGAUGGUUGUGGUGUAUUUCAGGUGGUUAAUUGGUGGUGGAAUUGAUACUAACAUCAUUCAUCAUGUGGAUUAUGAUAAUUCUUGUGGCUUGCAUCGAAGACUGUUCUGUUAUGCCAUCUAGAAAUCCAAUCAAAUUUCAGGUUCUGUCAUGAAAAGUCGAUGAAGAGAAAUUGAACCUUCUGCAAAACAGCACUCUAUGUCAGAGGACUAUCGAGAAAUGAUAAUGCACCAUGAAGAAAACUCUAGCAGACAUUGAACAUCUGCAAAACAGCACUCUAUAUCAGAGGGU
Long non-coding RNA from Rosa chinensis, 1705 nucleotides. RefSeq lists it as uncharacterized. The record is from RefSeq and is a predicted model, not a curated record. The transcript has 5 exons. NCBI's taxonomy places the organism in Eukaryota, Viridiplantae, Streptophyta, Magnoliopsida, Rosales, Rosaceae.